This 243-nucleotide long non-coding RNA is filed under the name Elaeis guineensis (African oil palm). RNAcentral's name for it is "long non-coding RNA (EGUI_LNC056019)". Lineage: Eukaryota; Viridiplantae; Streptophyta; Magnoliopsida; Arecales; Arecaceae. The record is from RNAcentral.
AUCCUUUCCUCUUUCUUUUCUUGGCUCAUCUUUGGAGAAUGGCUUUCUCUUGAAGUUUUGCCUUUUUUUUUUUAUGAAUAUUCUAAACUUCUUUGUUAUAAGGGCCAUCUCCUCAUCUUCAUCUUCUUCUUCUGAGUCUUCACUCUCCUCAUCUUCUUUUGCAAUUGACUUGAAAGUGAUUGUUUUUCUUUUCUUAGCCUUUUUUUCAAUGUUUUGCUUCAUAGUUAACUCAUGAGUUAUGAG